UACGUAGGUGGCAAGCGUUGUCCGGAUUUACUGGGCGUAAAGAGCGCGCAGGCGGUCGUUCAAGUCGCGUGUGAAAGCCCCCGGCUCAACUGGGGAGGGUCACGCGAUACUGAUCGACUCGAAGGCAGGAGAGGGAAGUGGAAUUCCCGGUGUAGUGGUGAAAUGCGCAGAUAUCAGGAGGAACACCGAUGGCGAAGGCAGGUCUCUGGGCCACUACUGACGCUGAGAAGCGAAAGCAUGGGGAGCGAACAGG
Molecule: ribosomal RNA, 253 nt
Filed under: uncultured bacterium
Lineage: Bacteria
Description: partial 16S ribosomal RNA
Rfam family: Bacterial small subunit ribosomal RNA
Source: RNAcentral